Long non-coding RNA from Eucalyptus grandis, 2808 nucleotides. RefSeq lists it as uncharacterized. The transcript is spliced from 2 exons. Lineage: Eukaryota; Viridiplantae; Streptophyta; Magnoliopsida; Myrtales; Myrtaceae. The record is from RefSeq and is a predicted model, not a curated record.
AUAGAAAUGCUAUUAUGUAACCAAGAAAUCCCGCUAAAAUAUAUUUUAUUAAGAACCCAAAGCAACCGAGAAUGUAGAUCCUUGCUCUGAGAUGGAGAACUCUCAAAUCCUUCGUCGGGGCUCUCGCCGGAAGCUCCAUUUUCCUUCGUUUCGAGGUUCGCCGGAGGGAAUCGUCGCCGCCGAUUCAAGUGUCCUGACGUCUCCGUGCACCAGUUUCUCCGGCGGUUUGAUGUUGGCUCGCGGUUCCAUGGUCGCUACGCACCUUCCGUCGUCGUCGUCGUCGCUGCUCUUCCUAAUCGCCCGCGACUCUAUUCGCUCCUUCGAUUGCUAUUCCACUGGGAGUAACGAUGACUCCGGCGGCUUUAUCUCCGAUCCUCCGUCCAUCAACUGAGAGCCACACCUGCCAGAGGGACCAAUGAGCUUGAGGGCGUUCCGUGGAGAUGAAGCCGGGGCGUUGGAACGUGAACCAUAGCAACGGCCGCCUCAUGAUUGCCGUGCGUGUCAUCACCUCAUCACCGCCAGGUUGUUUCUUUUCCAAUUAAAGUGGUAAGAAUUGCUUGUACGCAUGGAUUUUCUACUCUGAUGUUUCUGUUCUGUAUUACCAUUCUGGUGUUAAUAGUACAUCACACCACAUGCUUACAACCUUUUCGACAGAAAGCCUGACCCCAUUGCCGAUAGUUCCUAUUGCAUUCUGUUUACCAACGUCUUGAUGUCCAAUUGAAGUUGCGUUGGUCGUGCCUUUGCUGGAUUUCCCGUAUAUAGUUUAUUGAAAUGUGAACUAAUUAGAUAUAUAGGUGAUGUAUAUCGGAUGCUGUUCAUAAAUAUUUGUGUGGAUCAAAUCCUGUUCAUAUGUGAUUGUGUAUGUCAAAUGGUGCUCCUGCAUGUUACUUUGAGAUGGUGAAGUGCUGAAGGAAAGAGGAGAAUGCUGGGAGUACUAUUUUCUACUUGGACAUGAGGCUACUUAUGAUUGUAUACAUGAGUCAUCGAUGCUUGUUGCAAUAUCAAAAGAGCUUGUGUCUGGAGCAUGCGAGCUGCAAGUAUGCCUGAUUUGAGAAGAAACAAGAGCUGUAAAUGAGUUGAAAAUAAACAAUGAAAUGAAAGCCACAUGAGAUUCGAAGAUUUGAUUGGAUGAGAACCGAACAAAAAGAAAUUAGAAUUGUUGUUGCAUAAACUCAAGUAAAUGCUCGAUGUCAGACUCUUGAGAAUUGAGAAGACGUAGUCAGUAGUGUCUGUCCUUGCUUCUGCCACUGCAACCUCAUCCUAGAAGAAAUUAGAAUGGCUUGCAGAUAAUCAACUAAUUAGUCUCUUCUACCAUCAGUUUUGCCCACUUUACAGAUAUUGGCACAAGAAAGACUAUUAUUUUCUCCUAUUAGAUCUAGUCAUCCGUGACAGCAUAAUGCUUGGGCCAAGGAUUGCACAUGUUAGUAAUCUUGAGAAAUUUUGGAGGUGUUCGUGCAAUAUUGAUUUAAUGAUCACCAUUUGGGAUAUCCCAAAGUUGCCUACUUCAGCUUGUUUUCUCUUCAUUUCUCCUUUUGGUUUUUUGCACUUGUAAGUUAUUUGAGAAAUUUUGGUAGAUUCAUUCAUUUACCUAGAUAAAAGUAUCAUAUGCAUUGGAAACUAUUAUCUAAGUUGUCAAAAAUCUUGAUGAUGCUUGCAUGUGGCAAGCAAUCUGAUAUUCACAAAGGGAGUGACUUACCUCUCAACGAAUGGACAGUUAGUAAAUCCUCAAAGCAGAGUAGAUUGCAUAUGCAAAUUGCAUUCCUGUUUCCAGGAAACUUGUCCCUUGACCACAAUGCACAUCAGUUUAUCAAGAAGAGUGCAAGUAUUCCCUUGGAGCCACGAUUUAGCUUUUAUUCCCUUAACCAUAAUGCAUAGAGAUCCAUUCAGUUUUUCCUGACACCACGUCUGCAUAGUCCUGCAAGACAUGUACUUUUCCUGUCUGCCUGCGAAGACUUCUCACUUGGAAAAGCCCCAAGGGCUUGCAGAUACAUGGUAAUAUGCCUACGGAACAAUCAUGCUGUCUUUUUCAAUUUUUUAUCUUCCAGAUUUUUCUCCAUCUCAUCAUCUUAGAACAGGAAAAGAUGAGUUAUUCUAACGGGUAAGUUAAAUUCAUUUCUUCAUCAAACUAAGCUGGGGAUCAACUUUUCGCUGCAGCAACUUGGGCCCUUUGAUGCUAGACCUUUACUAAUACCUUAGUGACCUACUUUCUUGUUAAGUUAUGUCUUGAGUUUUGAAAUGUGCAUGAAACCUCAAAGGAUUUUGAUUUGUUCAAAUUCAGCGUUUGCUUUAAUCCAAGUCAAAUUUGGAGUUUUUGGGCUUUGGAAAAUUUGAUUUUGUUUUCUGUUCGAUGAAGUGUAUUUAUGUUUGACAGAUUCGACUUCUUGGGCUCUUUGUCUAUAUCGCAUGUGGAGGAGGGACUUAUUUUGGCCGUACAAAAGAAGAAGAAGAGGCUCUCAUAUUCAAUAUAUACUUGUGGGUUCAGUAGAUUUGUCAGAGGAAGAAAAAUGCAAAGGCGUGGGUUCUAAUUUUCUCAUCCCCUUCAGCCGCGUAAAAAGAAAAGUAAAAAGGUGGAGUUGUCCUUCUAGCCACGCGGAGAGGAAGAGGAACGCACGGUGAUCGUUUUUGGCGCGAAGGGUUUACAUCCUCGUUCUCUUUCAGGAGAUGCGGGUGUUUCAGACCGUAAUUCUCCGUAAGGCUAAACACUGUGCUUUAGGUGGAAUGAGAAGCGCUUGAAAAAUGUGAGCUGUCGUACUUUAUAAUCCUUCGAUUGAUUAGUGGAAAAUUUGCAACCGAUCUCCCUCUAAAGUA